This 834-nucleotide ribosomal RNA is filed under the name uncultured fungus. RNAcentral describes it as "eukaryotic LSU rRNA". The stretch from base 472 to 834 matches the Rfam family "Eukaryotic large subunit ribosomal RNA", at positions 1 to 367 of the family's 3401-position model. The record is from RNAcentral. Lineage: Eukaryota; Fungi.
CAUUACCGAGUUUACAACUCCCAAACCCCUGUGAACUAUACCAUUUUGUUGCCUCGGCGGCGUCUGCUUCACGGCGGGCCCGCCAGAGGACCCAAACUCUUGCAUUUGAAUUGAGUCUUCUCUGAGUGAUACAAGUAAUAAAUUAAAACUUUCAACAACGGAUCUCUUGGUUCUGGCAUCGAUGAAGAACGCAGCGAAAUGCGAUAAGUAAUGUGAAUUGCAGAAUUCAGUGAAUCAUCGAAUCUUUGAACGCACAUUGCGCCCGCCAGUAUUCUGGCGGGCAUGCCUGUUCGAGCGUCAUUUCAACCCUCAAGCCCCCGGGCUUGGUGUUGGAGAUCGGCAAAACGCCCCUCGCGGGCGCGCCGUCUCCCAAAUCUAGUGGCGGUCUCGCUGUAGCUUCCUCUGCGUAGUAACUCACCUCGCACUGGGACGCGGCGCGGCCACGCCGUUAAACACCCCACUUCUGAAGGUUGACCUCGGAUCAGGUAGGACUACCCGCUGAACUUAAGCAUAUCAAUAAGCGGAGGAAAAGAAACCAACAGGGAUUGCCCUAGUAACGGCGAGUGAAGCGGCAACAGCUCAAAUUUGAAAUCUGGCCCUCGGGUCCGAGUUGUAAUUUGUAGAGGAUGCUUUUGGUGCGGUGCCUUCCGAGUUCCCUGGAACGGGACGCCAUAGAGGGUGAGAGCCCCGUCUGGUUGGAUACCAAUCCUCUGUAAAGCUCCUUCGACGAGUCGAGUAGUUUGGGAAUGCUGCUCUAAAUGGGAGGUAUAUGUCUUCUAAAGCUAAAUACCGGCCAGAGACCGAUAGCGCACAAGUAGAGUGAUCGAAAGAUGA